RNAcentral lists this ribosomal RNA (524 nucleotides) under Orthotylini sp. WA0909msp026. RNAcentral describes it as "partial 16S ribosomal RNA". It matches the Rfam family "Bacterial large subunit ribosomal RNA", at positions 1808 to 2607 of the family's 2925-position model. Lineage: Eukaryota; Metazoa; Arthropoda; Insecta; Hemiptera; Miridae. The record is from RNAcentral.
CAAAAACAUGGUCUUUUGUUUAUAUAAAAGAUUUGACCUGCCCAAUGAUUGUUAUUUAAUGGCUGCAGUAUUUUGACUGUACAAAGGUAGCAUAAUCAUUUGUCUUUUAAUUGAAGUCUGGAAUGAAUGGUUUGAUGAAAAAUAUACUUUCUUUAUUUUAUAGAGGAAACUUAAUUUUUUAGUUAAAAAGCUAAAAUUUUUUUGUAGGACGAGAAGACCCUAUAGAACUUUAUUUUUGGAUUUAUAUAUUUAAUGUGGUAAAUAUCUUGGGUAUAUUUUGUUUGAAUUUUGUUGGGGUGACAGAAAAAUUUUAAUAACUUUUUCUACUUAAUUCAUUGUUUUAUGUAUUUUUGAUCCUUUUUUAGGGAUAAAAGACUAAGUUACCUUAGGGAUAACAGCGUUAUUGUUUCAGAGAGUUCAUAUCGAUGAAAUAGUUUGCGACCUCGAUGUUGGAUUAUAAUUAGAUGUGGGAGUAUAAUAUCAUAUUCUAGGUCUGUUCGACCUUUAAAUUUUUACAUGAUCUG